Molecule: long non-coding RNA, 387 nt
Filed under: Crocodylus porosus (Australian saltwater crocodile)
Lineage: Eukaryota; Metazoa; Chordata; Crocodylia; Crocodylidae
Description: lncRNA (ENSCPRG00005002843.1)
Source: RNAcentral
GUGGGCAGGGCUCAUUGCACAUCUGGUUAAAAUUAACAGCCAUCCUGCCAGCACUGGAUGAUGGUCCAACCUCUGAAUGCCAAGCUUUCCGGUUGAGAUGCCCUUCAUCAGGCAAAGGAGAAAUCCAAGAUGUUAAGAGUUCUGCCAGGUAGAAAGGCAACUUCAUCUUGCAGAGGAGAGACCACAGAUGCUGGGGUUUCUCCUGAGUGGAAAGUGAUGAGCAUCUGACAUGCAGAGGGGUUUUAAAGGACAAGAAAACAUUGGACAAUGGCAGGGUGAGUUGAGAGCACCGGUCCCCAAGUAAGUCCAGUAAAACCAGAGUCCGUGGGCUAUGGAGAUGAAGCUGUUGAGAAGGAUGUGGACAGACGUGCGCAGUGACUCCUGGUG